AACGAACGCUGGCGGCAUGCCUAACACAUGCAAGUCGAACGAGACCUUCGGGUCUAGUGGCGCACGGGUGCGUAACGCGUGGGAACCUGCCCUUAGGUUCGGAAUAACUCCCCGAAAGGGGUGCUAAUACCGGAUAAUGUCUUCGGACCAAAGAUUUAUCGCCUUUGGAUGGGCCCGCGUUGGAUUAGCUAGUUGGUAGGGUAAAAGCCUACCAAGGCGACGAUCCAUAGCUGGUCUGAGAGGAUGAUCAGCCACACUGGGACUGAGACACGGCCCAGACUCCCACGGGAGGCAGCAGUGGGGAAUAUUGGACAAUGGGCGAAAGCCUGAUCCAGCAAUGCCGCGUGAGUGAUGAAGGCCUUAGGGUUGUAAAGCCCUUUUACCCGGGAUGAUAAUGACAGUACCGGGAGAAUAAGCUCCGGCUAACUCCGUG
This 433-nucleotide ribosomal RNA is filed under the name uncultured bacterium. Its description in RNAcentral is "partial 16S ribosomal RNA". It matches the Rfam family "Bacterial small subunit ribosomal RNA", at positions 29 to 507 of the family's 1533-position model. The record is from RNAcentral.